AGUUUAAUGGCUGAGAAUAAGCAUUAGAUUGUAAAUCUAAAUACGAGAAAUUUUCUCUUAAACUA
RNAcentral lists this transfer RNA (65 nucleotides) under Daphnia similis. RNAcentral's name for it is "tRNA-Tyr". It matches the Rfam family "tRNA". Rfam says of the family: Transfer RNA (tRNA) molecules are approximately 80 nucleotides in length. Their secondary structure includes four short double-helical elements and three loops (D, anti-codon, and T loops). Lineage: Eukaryota; Metazoa; Arthropoda; Branchiopoda; Diplostraca; Daphniidae. The record is from RNAcentral.